Molecule: ribosomal RNA, 403 nt
Filed under: uncultured bacterium
Lineage: Bacteria
Description: partial 16S ribosomal RNA
Rfam family: Bacterial small subunit ribosomal RNA
Source: RNAcentral
GACGAACGCUGGCGGCGUGCCUAAUACAUGCAAGUCGAACGCAGUGGGGACGGGUGAGUAACACGUGGGUAACCUCCCAUCAGAGGGGAUAACACUUGGACACAGGUGCUAAACCUAUAUUGAUGGAUCGACCCGCGGUGCAUUGGCUAGUUGGUGGGGUAACGGCUCACCCAGGCCACGAUGCAUAGCCGGUCUGAGAGGGUGAUCGGCCACACUGGGACUGAGACACGGCCCAGACUCCUACGGGAGGCAGCAGUAGGGAAUAUGCGGCAAUGGACGAAAGUCUGACCGAGCAACGCCGCGUGAGUGAAGAAGGUUUUCGGAUCGUAAAACUCUGUUGUUAGAGAAGCGGUAUCUAACCAGAAAGCCAUGGCUAACUACGUGCCAGCAGCCGCGGUAAUUC